UUUCUAGAUGUUCUGGGCCGCACGCGCGCUACACUGAACAGUUCAACAAGUCUUAACCUUGGCCGAUAGGUCUGGGUAAUCUUUGAACGCUGUUCGUGAUUGGGAUAGACCUUUGCAAUUAUGGGUCUUCAACGAGGAAUUCCUAGUAAACGCAAGUCAUCAGCUUGCAUUGAUUACGUCCCUGCCCUUUGUACACACCGCCCGUCGCACCUACCGAUUGAAUGGUCCGGUGAAAUCUCGGGACGGCGGCUUGGUCGCUUGCGUCCGACUGCUGAAACUUGAUUAAACCAUAUCAUUUAGAGGAAGGUGAANUCGUANCA
Molecule: ribosomal RNA, 320 nt
Filed under: uncultured eukaryote
Lineage: Eukaryota
Description: partial 18S ribosomal RNA
Rfam family: Eukaryotic small subunit ribosomal RNA
Source: RNAcentral